RNAcentral lists this ribosomal RNA (425 nucleotides) under uncultured bacterium. RNAcentral's name for it is "partial 16S ribosomal RNA". It matches the Rfam family "Bacterial small subunit ribosomal RNA", at positions 354 to 796 of the family's 1533-position model. The record is from RNAcentral.
GUGGGGAAUCUUGCGCAAUGGGCGAAAGCCUGACGCAGCCAUGCCGCGUGAAUGAUGAAGGUCUUAGGAUUGUAAAAUUCUUUCACCGGGGACGAUAAUGACGGUACCCGGAGAAGAAGCUCCGGCUAACUUCGUGCCAGCAGCCGCGGUAAUACGAAGGGGGCUAGCGUUGCUCGGAAUUACUGGGCGUAAAGGGCGCGUAGGCGGACAGCUUAGUCAGAGGUGAAAGCCCAGGGCUCAACCUUGGAAUUGCCUUUGAUCCUGGCUGUCUUGAGUUUGGGAGAGGUGAGUGGAACUCCGAGUGUAGAGGUGAAAUUCGUAGAUAUUCGGAAGAACACCAGUGGCGAAGGCGACUCACUGGCCCAAUACUGACGCUGAGGCGCGAAAGCGUGGGGAGCAAACAGGAUUAGAAACCCUUGUAGUCC